This 100-nucleotide small nuclear RNA is filed under the name Jaculus jaculus (lesser Egyptian jerboa). The record is from RNAcentral. Lineage: Eukaryota; Metazoa; Chordata; Mammalia; Rodentia; Dipodidae.
UCGCUUUGGCAGCGCAGACACUAAAGCUGACACAAUACAGAGAUUAGCAUGACCCCUGGGCAAGGAUGACCUGCAAAUUUGUGAAGUGUUGCAUAGUAAA